Molecule: ribosomal RNA, 407 nt
Filed under: uncultured prokaryote
Description: bacterial SSU rRNA
Rfam family: Bacterial small subunit ribosomal RNA
Source: RNAcentral
UGGGGAAUAUUGCACAAUGGGCGCAAGCCUGAUGCAGCGACGCCGCGUGAGGGAUGACGGCCUUCGGGUUGUAAACCUCUUUUGUUAGGGAGCAAGCGAGAGUGAGUGUACCUUUCGAAUAAGCACCGGCUAACUACGUGCCAGCAGCCGCGGUAAUACGUAGGGUGCAAGCGUUAUCCGGAAUUAUUGGGCGUAAAGAGCUCGUAGGCGGCUUGUCGCGUCCGGUGUGAAAGUCCAUCGCUUAACGGUGGAUCUGCGCCGGGUACGGGCAGGCUAGAAUGCGGUAGGGGAGACUGGAAUUCCCGGUGUAACGGUGGAAUGUGUAGAUAUCGGGAAGAACACCAAUGGCGAAGGCAGGUCUCUGGGCCGUUAUUGACGCUGAGGAGCGAAAGCGUGGGGAGCGAACA